Molecule: ribosomal RNA, 306 nt
Filed under: Triticum aestivum (bread wheat)
Lineage: Eukaryota; Viridiplantae; Streptophyta; Magnoliopsida; Poales; Poaceae
Description: partial small subunit ribosomal RNA
Source: RNAcentral
AUGGCCGACAUCGAGGAUCCCGACGGCGGCGUGGUGGAGGCGGAGCCCACCGAGUGUUGCAGGUGCAUGUUCAUAGCCACGAUGGGCUUCUCCUUCCUCACGCUUAUCGUCUUCUUUGUGUUCACGGGGGACAUCUACGAUUCCCAUCCAACGUCAAAAGCUCUGGAUGUGACCGUGCAGCUCGUGGGCUUCCUCGCACUCCUCGCUGCUUUCUGGUUUGGCGCCGUCUUCAUGAUCCUUGUGAUCGAGUGGUAUGCCGGCAAUCCGGCGGGGCAAAGGGUUGCAGAUAGCUUGAUCCAGUCGGAC